AACGCAUAUUGCGCCCUCUGGUAUUCCGGAGGGCAUGCCUGUCCGAGCGUCAUUGCUACCCUCAAGCGCAGCUUGUUUGUUGAGCCCGAUUGUCCCUUAAUGGACAGGCUCGAAAUGCAGUGGCGAUGCCGAGUUUGGUGCCCGAGUGUAUGGAGCUUUGUCACACGCUUUGGUGGCCCAGCCGGCAUUUGUCUUUAUUUCCCCAAAAUUUGACCUCGGAUCAGGUAGGGAUACCCGCUGAACUUAA
This 247-nucleotide unclassified non-coding RNA is filed under the name uncultured Eurotiales. Its description in RNAcentral is "sequence contains ITS2". The stretch from base 1 to 52 matches the Rfam family "5.8S ribosomal RNA", at positions 103 to 154 of the family's 154-position model. Lineage: Eukaryota; Fungi; Ascomycota; Eurotiomycetes; Eurotiales. The record is from RNAcentral.